RNAcentral lists this long non-coding RNA (911 nucleotides) under Equus caballus (horse). Its description in RNAcentral is "lncRNA (ENSECAG00000035752.3)". The record is from RNAcentral. Lineage: Eukaryota; Metazoa; Chordata; Mammalia; Perissodactyla; Equidae.
CUCCACACAGCCUGGCUGUCAAAGCUGUAGUUUUCACUGUCUAAAGUUCAAAAGUCAGAGUCUGCUGAGGGAUGUGCUUAUGACAUCAAGUGGGAAACAGUGGUGGUCAUCCUUGGGAGGCAGAGUGAUGCCAAGAAGGAGAUUCUAGUGCUCAGGAAGAAGGAGAAGCAAUGGAAGAAGGAGGGAAACUGGAAGCCUUGGGCACCUCCAAAGGAGAGGAACUCCCAACAGGAUAGAGGAUGAAGAUGGGGAAGCUGUGAAGAUAAAGGCAAACUUGAUUGCUGAAGAUAUUUGAAUCUUGCGUUCACCUCCUCUGGACUGUGGCUUCCUAAUUAGACUACUUCAAAUGCUAACUCACCACUCCUAGGAUGUGGAUUAAAGUUAGCUUACAACUGGAAACAACCAAAAUGCCCACCAACGCGGGACUGCUUAAAGAAAGUUCGGUGCGAUCAUUUAGUGAGCCACUCUGCUGCUGAAAUUAAAAAAUAAGGAAGCUCUCUGGGCGCUGGUGAGGAAAGACCUCCCGGACAUAGGAUUCAGUGAGGAGAGCAAGUGAAUCUUCCUGACGGUUUCAAGGAAAACCUACAUACACAGAAGAAUGUCUGGGGGAAAUGAGAGGACGAAAGACAAAUUGAAGCCAAGAGGCUUCAACCCCUGCAAGGAUGGCUCCACAGCAUGGCUGUUGAGUGGAGUAGGUCCACUCCCGGGAUCUGAACCUGUGAACCCCAGGCCGCUGAAGUGGAGCACACGUGGAUCUUUGACCACUUGGCCACGGGGCCGGCCCCCACGCGUGUCCUUUUGAAGUCUGAAUCAUCUCCCAUCACAUGGCUGGACCACGUUUAGUUUAUCCAUUCCUCCAUCGGUGGAUAUUUAGGUUGCUUCCACCUUUUGGCUACUGUGCAUAAUGGGGC